GACYUCAAAUCGGGUGGGACUACCCGCUGAACUUAAGCAUAUCAAUAAGCGGAGGAAAAGAAACUAACAAGGAUUCCCCUAGUAACGGCGAGUGAAGAGGGAAAAGCUCAAAUUUUGAAUCUGGUGUCUUUGACUCCCGAGUUGUAAUCUAGAGAAGUGUUUUCCGUGUCGGACCGUGCACAAGUUCCCUGGAACGGGGCGUCAUAGAGGGUGAGAAUCCCGUAUAUGGCAUGGACUGCCGAUGCUUUUGUGAUACACUCUCAACGAGUCGAGUUGUUUGGGAAUGCAGCUCAAAAUGGGUGGUAAAUUCCAUCUAAAGCUAAAUAUUGGCGAGAGACCGAUAGCGAACAAGUACCGUGAGGGAAAGAUGAAAAGCACUUUGGAAAGAGAGUGAAACAGUACGUGAAAUUGUUGAAAGGGAAGCGUUUGAAGUCAGUCGUAUCUGGCGGGAUUCAGCCGAGCUUCUGCUUGGUGUACUUCCCGUCCGAUGGGUCAGCAUCAAUUUCGACCGGGGGAGAAAGGCGUGGGGAAUGUGGCUGUCUUCGGGCAGUGUUAUAGCCCCAUGUUGUAUGCCUCGGUUGGGAUUGAGGAACGCAGCGCGCCUCAUGGCCAGGGGUUCGCCCUUGACACGCGCUAGAUGC
Molecule: ribosomal RNA, 641 nt
Filed under: uncultured Sebacinales
Lineage: Eukaryota; Fungi; Basidiomycota; Agaricomycetes; Sebacinales
Description: eukaryotic LSU rRNA
Rfam family: Eukaryotic large subunit ribosomal RNA
Source: RNAcentral